Long non-coding RNA from Passer domesticus (house sparrow), 960 nucleotides. RefSeq lists it as uncharacterized. The record is from RefSeq and is a predicted model, not a curated record. NCBI's taxonomy places the organism in Eukaryota, Metazoa, Chordata, Aves, Passeriformes, Passeridae. The transcript has 3 exons.
UUGGGACGGCUCCAUCUGCCCUUAAUGUACCUGAAGGCCCUCCAAUAAAUAUAACCACUUUUUAUUCCCUUAAUUUUGUCUGUCCUCUGUUUUUAGGUAGCCCAAACAGGCAUCAACAGCUAUGUGGCGAGAGAGAUUAAGUACAAGUGGGGGGAAAGGAAAAAGAAAGAAAAAAUUAACAUCCGUGAAUGGCUGCUCUGUUGUGUGGGCCACAACAAGGCCUCGGCAUCUCCCGAUGGCGCCGGAGCACGGCACCCGCUGCAGCCCAGGGAACACGGCUCAGUCACGUCGGGAACAGCAGCUGUGGGAGCAGGGAACUGAGGCAGCAGAAAGCUCCUUUCCCUCAGAAUCCUGAGCACUGUGAGAGGCAGAUUCUAAAAGUCACAGCUGGAAGCAUCUGUCCUCCUUUCUCUACACAAAGUGAAUUCUGAAGCCAGAAUGAAGGCCAGCUGAAGGAGCGAUAUCAAAUUGAUGCCACCCACAUUUUGCAGCCCUCACCUGUGUCUGCAAAAUAAACCACAGAAUCAGAGAAUCAUCAAGAUUAGAAGAGACACAAUUAUCCCACCAUCAUCCCAGCACCACCAUGGUCACUCUUAAAACAUGUCCCCAAGUGCCACUUGGGAAAGACCCUAGAAAUGACCUUGAUCAUCAACAAGAGGAUAAACUUUAAAGACUGCCUGGCUUCAGUCAUCCACUAGUCUAAAAGAUUAAUCUGAAAUGUUUGAGAAUGGUUUGAAAUAAAACUCCUGGGAUCAAAGAGGAAUUAUAAGAAGAAAUUCAACUACUUAAAAAGCUGCCACAAGUCCAGCAAUAAAAUCCCGCCCUCAGAAACACCAGUGCUUUUAUUCAUUCUAUCUAUACAUCUAAAUCCAGGUAACUAAAGGAGCAUCCUAGAAGAAAGAGAUCUCAAUUGUUUUUAAAAGGAAAAAGAAUAAACAAAAGAAUGGAAACUGGCAAUAA